Molecule: non-coding RNA, 375 nt
Organism: Electrophorus electricus (electric eel)
Lineage: Eukaryota; Metazoa; Chordata; Actinopteri; Gymnotiformes; Gymnotidae
Source: RefSeq, a predicted model, not a curated record
GAAGAAAGCCCACGUACAACACGGAAUGAUGGUUAGCAGAUUAGGGUGUAAACCUCACAAAAUCCGAAAUGGUACCUUUGGUUUCAGCUGCUGCGGUCUGGCGUUGUGUGGACAACACUAACCUAACUGAGCUAUGAUGGGCAGACUGGACAACACCAACCUAACUUCUGCUAGGCAGACUGGACGACUGGGCUUUAAAUCCAUGAAGUGGCCUGGUAACGGGACACGGUCUGCUUAGCUGGAAAACAUCUCACUGUUGCUUAUUUCCCAAGGGCUCAUUUAAAAACUACUAACUUGAGGCAAAUAAUAAAUAUCAAUACCACAGUGGAACGAGAGUAUGUAUGUACGAUAACGACAGUCUCGCUCCAUAAAGUU